GCCGGUGUAGCUCAGUUGGUAGAGCGUUCGCCUUGUAAGCGAAAUGUCGCGGGUUCGACUCCUGUCACCGGCUCCA
RNAcentral lists this transfer RNA (76 nucleotides) under Nocardioides albus. Its description in RNAcentral is "tRNA-Thr". It matches the Rfam family "tRNA". From Rfam's summary of the family: Transfer RNA (tRNA) molecules are approximately 80 nucleotides in length. Their secondary structure includes four short double-helical elements and three loops (D, anti-codon, and T loops). RNAcentral also lists the same sequence under 24 other names. The record is from RNAcentral. Lineage: Bacteria; Bacillati; Actinomycetota; Actinomycetes; Propionibacteriales; Nocardioidaceae.